UGGCAACAUUAACAAAUUAUUAUUGAUAUAGGCUUUUCAAUUUGCUCAAGAUUAUGAAUUGUAAGUGGAAUGAAGCAGCAUUUCCAGUUGACGAAAGGAUCCGCAGGAAAAGGAAGAAAGGGGAUACAUUUAGGUUGAAGUCUCCCAAAGACCCUGAGAUAUGUGUAGACGUAACAUGGCAUCUAUUUGAUAAAAUCUUGUUUGCACCGCAGUGUUCACUCCCAGGCUUCAGAGUCCAAACCAGAAGUUCUCCAACUGUUUGGUUUCAGGACCUUUUGACACUUGUUGCAUAUUAACAUAAGGAACAUUUUUUUUUUUGUAAUGAAAGAUUACUGUAUUUUACCAAACAAAAAAGAUUUAGUGAGCAGAGUGGCAUUUUUUUUUUCACAUUUCACAGAUUGCUCUGGUGUCUAGCUCAAUAGCAGGCUGCUCAAUUAUCUACAUUUAAUCAGUUGCAAUAUCGUACAUCAUGUAGCUUUUACAAAGUCCUGUGUACAUUCAUGAGAGUUUGAGAGUAAAAUAAAAAAGGUGUAUACGUAAUAUUAUAAUCAAAUAGUUGCACCAUGCAAUCUCAGAAAAGCUUGACAGAACGAUUUGCGUUAAACAGCGGUAUGCGAAGGGGAGCAGGAUUGACAUCCUGGUCUACUCUCAUACAGAAAAUGGAACUGGCACUGUAGUUAGAUUUGCUGAAACCAAUGAACGGAGGCAAGGCUGUGGCUAAAUAACGAAUGUAUUGAGCCCUUGUCCAGGGGUUUAUAUACCUUCCGCCUUCCCCUUAUAAUAAUCACGGAAGGUAUAGAUUUUUCCCCAUGAGGAAAGAGGCUCAGGUGUUAAUAAGCACAUUUUCUGGCUGGAUGACUGAUAAAAGUGGGAGCGGACAGUAAGCUCAUUAUGGCUCAACUCACAACUGGAAAUGUAAAAAGGGACCCAAUUUAUGUACAUGAAAAAGCUUUCUGAAAAGGUGACAUCCAAGUAAAAGUGACUGUGUUGAUUACUGGUACCCAAAGGACCGUAACUAACUGAUCUACUUGGAUAAUGUAAUUUUAUUCUUCUGAAAAGUAAAUAAACUUUUCAAGAUACGGUCCUUACUUGAUAUGUCAAAAUUCAGUGAAAAAAACAAAAUGUCAUUUGACUCUGACAACUUUUGAAGAAACCGAUGUUUUUAUUCAUUUACAUGGUAUAAUUCAAUAUAGAAAGAAAAUGCAGAAAGUAAAAGUUUUUCCUUGUUUUUUUUAAAAUAGGUAAUAUAAUUUACACGGUAUAAAACUCAACAGAAGUGUCUGCUGUAAAAAUUAUUCAUCCUGCCCACCCUUACCCCCAACUAAUCACUGUCCAGUACAGUUCCCUCCCUAGAUAAUACCAUGGUUACCAGUUACUUGUGUAUCUUUCAGAGAUACUCUAAAGCAAGGUUGUACAAAUGUGAAAUUUUCACGUAGCAAGGGGUUCUUGAUUUGCCCUUUCACAGGUCUCAUUCACAUACUUAUAAAAUGUUAGAGCUGCAAAGGUAGAACAAAAUAUGAAUCACAUAUGAAUCAAAUAUGAAUCAGAUCACAGGAGUAAUUCCCACCAACCCCAAACAUAAGAUUGGCCAUGAAGAAGGUCAGAAAGGCCAGGCAGGAAUACAGGAAGUAGGCAGGGAUUAUCUCACAGCAGAAUGAGCAGUAAUCUCUAUUUUUUCCUGGAGUAUAGAUUUACAGUAUUCACUCCUACCUACUUCUCGGCUUCUAGGCCCACAGAAAGAUUUCACUUCUUUGUUACGAUUAGCCUGUGAAGUGGCUACUUCUGGCUAAAGGGCUAUGAGGCCAAAGCAUUUAAUUGCAGAGAACCCCCUUCAGUGUUCUCUUCUGCCAUAGGGAAUAUAAAGGCCGUGUGUUCCAGAUGGUAAUAGCUCAAGAUGGUAAAGCCUCUGUCGACGUGGGUCCUUGAGUGAGAUGAUCCACAGUGAAUGUAUGGUGCGGGCAAGAAAUAAAAGUCUGUUGUGUUAAGCUGCAA
Long non-coding RNA from Leopardus geoffroyi (Geoffroy's cat), 1992 nucleotides. RefSeq lists it as uncharacterized. The record is from RefSeq and is a predicted model, not a curated record. The transcript has 2 exons. NCBI's taxonomy places the organism in Eukaryota, Metazoa, Chordata, Mammalia, Carnivora, Felidae.